Molecule: long non-coding RNA, 1523 nt
Organism: Carlito syrichta (Philippine tarsier)
Lineage: Eukaryota; Metazoa; Chordata; Mammalia; Primates; Tarsiidae
Exons: 2
Source: RefSeq, a predicted model, not a curated record
GGAUCAGGGAGAUCUUGAAGGCUUCUCGAAAAUUGCAAGGUGAUCCAGAUUUGCCGAUGUCUUUUACUCUGGCAAUAGUGGAAUCUGAUUCUACAAUAGUCUAUUAUAAACUUACUGAUGGAUUUAUGCUUCCAGACCCUCAGAAUAUUUCCCUCAGAAGAUGACAUCUAUGUUUCCUGAUGCUUAUUUUACUCAUACAAGAGUGGAUUCAAGACCCGUCAGCUUGCUUCAUCUUUUAUCUUGGAGAUAGUCAGGGUUGACUUUCCCAUUUUAUAAAUUUCCCUCUCUGAAGAAUAAAACUUCCCCAGAUAGAAAAUUUUUUUUCCUUCAAAAAUAUAGGCUGAUUGCUCCAGAAAUCUUCUAUCUGGAGACAGUUUAAUUACAGUUAUACACAGGUUUAUGCCUAGGAUGUGCUCAGAUGGGCGGAACCCAUGUGCUGCUCCUGUCAUCCUACACUUGUGCUGCCUCUGUGUUCCAUGCUGCCACUGCUGGCUCAUUGUUGAGGCUAGCACAUUUUUCUUUUACUCAACUCUCCCAGGGCCUUUUGGCCACUACAGCUAGCUUGGAAUGGCAUUUCAUAUAUACCUUGUCAUCUGCAGAGUUUACUUCUGUAUGCUUUUUCAUCCUCAGUAGAAAGUAAAACAUUUAUUUCCAUUGGUCUUCUGUUAUAAUUACUGUUACCUCUCUCUUUGGUUGACUUUAAAUCAAAACAAAAUAUGUUCAUCCAGAGUGUAAACGUAUAUGUUUAGGUUAAUAGGGACCAUAGAAGUGCUACCUACUAGGCCUUCCUUUCCAUUCUUAUCACCACCAUCCUUAUUAUGUCAUGGCUAGAAUAUUAGAAGAGAGACAGUGUGUAACAGUAUCAGCCUCAAAACCAUUUUUAUUCAUUUGACUUAGUGAUUCCACUUUUGUUAAUAUCCCCCAAUCAUGUUUUCUGAAGUAUGAAAAAUAUUCACAAAGAUGAUCCAAGUUGCAUUAAUUUUAAUAGCCCAGUUAAUUUUAUAAAUCACUUAAAGUUUAAGGCAAGGAUCAGCAAACUUUUUCUAUAAAGACACAGAAAGUAAAUAUUUUAGGCUUUGCAGACCAUACUGUCUCUGUAGUAACCUGUUAACACUCCUGUCCAUAGCACAAAAGCAGCCAUGGACAAUAUGUAAACAGUGUGGACAUGACUAUGUUCCCAUAAAACUUCACUUACAAAUAUGGGGGCAUAGUUUGCCAUCCCUGGUCUAGGUAAUGGUCCAUAAACAGGUAUAUGAAUGGUACAUUAUGUACUCAUUAUGUACUCAUAAUGAAUGUUAUAAAAAACAUGAGAACUAUUAUAUUAAAUAAAGGUUGCAAGAUACAAGAUGGUAUGAAUGGGUGUAAUCAAGGCUACAAAUAAGCAUGUAAUAAAAAGAUGGCAAAUCAAAUUACUAACUGUGGUUAUAGUAGGAUGGUAGGGCAGUAAAUGGAUAACUUUAUGUUUUCUCAGUGUUUCAGUUUUUAUUUGUAUUGCUUUUACAAUAAAAACAUCUUAAAUUUUU